RNAcentral lists this unclassified non-coding RNA (506 nucleotides) under Hevea brasiliensis (rubber tree). The record is from RNAcentral. Lineage: Eukaryota; Viridiplantae; Streptophyta; Magnoliopsida; Malpighiales; Euphorbiaceae.
UUUAAAAAAAAAAAAAAGCAGACCUGUUCCACUCUCUAUUUGAAGAUUUCUGGCAAGGGAUUGGAUGAAAUUGACAACAUUAAACUAGGCUGAUAGAACUUGGUAGCAUUGGAGAUAUGUAAUAGAAGUAAAUUUCUUUCUAGAUUUAGAUGCUGAAUUUUGAGAUGGAAAUAUUUGCUUGGAAGGCAUUAAAGUGUACUCUAUGUUGGCGGAAUAUUAAAUUUCUGGCUAGCUUAAAGAUUUCUAGCUUGUAAAAGCUCUAGCAAUUCUAUUUUCUAUUGAAUUGUGGGGUUUGGAUUGUCAUCUAUAUGUUAUAUUGUGAGGAGACAAUAAGUGAUAGAUGGCUAAAUACCUGUCAAACUGUCAAAGGAGACUUUGGUGUUGGCUUUGCUUGUUGCUCAGUUGUUAUGAUGACACUUAAUAUACCAUUGGCAUGUGUUGAUAUUUUUAUUCUGUCAUGGUCAGGCCGGUUUCUUAAACAGUUUUGUAGUGAAUGGUUUGUAUCU